This 440-nucleotide ribosomal RNA is filed under the name uncultured bacterium. RNAcentral describes it as "partial 16S ribosomal RNA". It matches the Rfam family "Bacterial small subunit ribosomal RNA", at positions 338 to 795 of the family's 1533-position model. The record is from RNAcentral.
CCUACGGUGGGCAGCAGUAGGGAAUAUUGCUCAAUGGGGGCAACCCUGAAGCAGCAACGCCGCGUGGAGGAUGAAGGUUUUCGGAUUGUAAACUCCUUUUGUUAGAGAAGAUAAUUACGGUAUCUAACGAAUAAGCACCGACUAACUCCGUUCCAGCCGCCGCGGUAAUACGGAGGGUGCAAGCGUUACUCGGAAUCACUGGGCGUAAAGGGCGCGUAGGCGGGAUAGCAAGUCAGAUGUGAAAUCCUAUGGCUUAACCAUAGAACUGCAUUUGAAACUGUUAUUCUAGAGUAUGGGAGAGGUAGGUGGAAUUCUUGGUGUAGGGGUAAAAUCCGUAGAGAUCAAGAGGAAUACUCAUUGCGAAGGCGACCUGCUAGAACAUAACUGACGCUGAUGCGCGAAAGCGUGGGGAGCAAACAGGAUUAGAUACCCUGGUAGUC